Dermacentor albipictus is the source of this 1002-nucleotide long non-coding RNA. RefSeq lists it as uncharacterized. NCBI's taxonomy places the organism in Eukaryota, Metazoa, Arthropoda, Arachnida, Ixodida, Ixodidae. The record is from RefSeq and is a predicted model, not a curated record.
AGCAACCAAGCAAUUACCCAGCUAACUUCGAUCCGGCAAUUCAACAAUCUGUUUCAGGAGGCGAAGCGGUGGCAUAGGCCAUGAAGACCUGAGCCCAAGGAGGGCACCAGCGGCAUCGCAACUGUGCCACGGUUGUACACCGAGUACUUCGGCCUAGCCUUGCUCCGAUAACAAGGGUGCCGUCCUCUUCUACGGGGACAACAUCGCCACCGAAGCGUCCAUGACUAACGGACCCCGUCCCACACAACGCUAGCAACACGGAAGCAAGCACUUGACGACCGCAUGGCUUCCGUCAAUUGGGAUCUGCUGCGGACGCCAUCGUUAUGGCUUCGGCUGUGCUGCACGCUUUCCGAGAGAACGUUCGUAUAAGGACGUGAAACGGGAGCUGCCCAGAGCCAGCCAUCUCCGCAAUGCCAGCGUGUAUGGCGCACCCUGUUCGUCUUCUGCUACAGCUCUUCGCAGCGAGGCACGCCAGAAAAUCCUCGCUACCUAAACAAGAAAGACAAAGGCAUCGCCCGUGGCACUCCAAGGAGGGCAAAUCGGCCAACGUCGUUACACCGAAAAGGUCAAAAAGCAAGAAAGGUGCGGGAUUUUCGGAACGAGAAACACAUCGGCUACGGGACACCAACGGCAACAAAAGAGCCAGCGUCGUUAGGUCAAAUGGACCGCAGUGACAUUGCAAAUGAUCGGGUGACUACAGCAAGAUCCUAAUGUGCACUUGAAAGCAUGGAAAAAAGGGGGCCGGACUUUGGAGGGUUUAAAAGCGGUCAUCAGACCUCACGCCAGUGUUCUACGGCCGCUCCAUGAUGCUACAGAAUAAAAGAAUAUGUAUUUAUUACUGUUUUAGCGCAGAAUGUACAAAAAGCACAAAGGGACACUAACGGCACAGGUUUUUAACUUGGAACUAUCGUUUAAAGCCACCUGUCGUGAAUAUAUACAGAAGAACAGAGAAAAAGAAUAAAAAGUAAACACAAGAAAGAACAUAAUCAUUUUAUUGUACUA